AGUAAGUCUUCACGGAAUUAAUCUCGUAAAAAACGUAAAAGUGAAAUGGCAAAUUGAACUUCAGCGUCACGUUGUUCUCCGUUUCAUUGUUAGGUUAUCCAGAACUUUCUCGAAAUUCGGUAAGCAGAAGAAGAGAUCUACGUACUCCAGUAGCAUGACGGCAGUAAAGUAGGCGAAUGUUACGUUGAAUAAGUAAAAAUUUGGUGCCAGAGGCCAUACUCCAAUCCAUCUUGACAUCCAUCUACCCCAGUAAAAAGCUCUAACACCGUUUUCCAAAUCGCGCUCAUCCUAGUUUAUGUCGAAUGAGGGAUCCUCGGCUGUGACAAUCUCCGAAGUAAACAUUUCUUUGUUGGGUGACAGUCCGCAGACUAUACAUAUAAUUGCUGAAAGUUUUAUUAUUUUUAUAUGUACGCA
Cotesia glomerata is the source of this 414-nucleotide long non-coding RNA. RefSeq lists it as uncharacterized. The transcript has 3 exons. The record is from RefSeq and is a predicted model, not a curated record. Lineage: Eukaryota; Metazoa; Arthropoda; Insecta; Hymenoptera; Braconidae.